Molecule: signal recognition particle RNA, 98 nt
Filed under: Magnetococcales bacterium
Lineage: Bacteria; Pseudomonadati; Pseudomonadota; Magnetococcia; Magnetococcales
Description: signal recognition particle sRNA small type
Rfam family: Bacterial small signal recognition particle RNA
About the family: The signal recognition particle (SRP) is a universally conserved ribonucleoprotein involved in the co-translational targeting of proteins to membranes. Archaeal SRP consists of a 7S RNA and homologues of the eukaryotic SRP19 and SRP54 proteins.
Source: RNAcentral
GAUCAGGUCAUACGCAACGGAAACUUGCAAACCCCGUCAGGACCGGAAGGGAGCAGCGGUAGUGAGAUCUUUCGUGUGCCGUAUAUCCCCUGAUUGGA